RNAcentral lists this ribosomal RNA (306 nucleotides) under uncultured bacterium. RNAcentral describes it as "bacterial SSU rRNA". It matches the Rfam family "Bacterial small subunit ribosomal RNA", at positions 30 to 334 of the family's 1533-position model. The record is from RNAcentral.
AUUGAACGCUGGCGGCAUGCCUUACACAUGCAAGUCGAACGGCAGCACGGGAGCAAUCCUGGUGGCGAGUGGCGAACGGGUGAGUAAUAUAUCGGAACGUGCCCGGUCGUGGGGGAUAACGUAGCGAAAGCUACGCUAAUACCGCAUACGAUCUACGGAUGAAAGCGGGGGGAUCGCAAGACCUCGCGCGAUUGGAGCGGCCGAUAUCAGAUUAGGUAGUUGGUGAGGUAAAGGGCUCACCAAGCCGACGAUCUGUAGCUGGUCUGAGAGGACGACCAGCCACACUGGGACUGAGACACGGCCCAG